RNAcentral lists this transfer RNA (83 nucleotides) under Schistocephalus solidus. It matches the Rfam family "tRNA". Rfam says of the family: Transfer RNA (tRNA) molecules are approximately 80 nucleotides in length. Their secondary structure includes four short double-helical elements and three loops (D, anti-codon, and T loops). Further hydrogen bonds mediate the characteristic L-shaped molecular structure. tRNAs have two regions of fundamental functional importance: the anti-codon, which is responsible for specific mRNA codon recognition, and the 3' end, to which the tRNAs corresponding amino acid is attached (by aminoacyl-tRNA synthetases). tRNAs cope with the degeneracy of the genetic code in two manners: having more than one tRNA (with a specific anti-codon) for a particular amino acid; and 'wobble' base-pairing, i.e. permitting non-standard base-pairing at the 3rd anti-codon position. Lineage: Eukaryota; Metazoa; Platyhelminthes; Cestoda; Diphyllobothriidea; Diphyllobothriidae. The record is from Rfam by way of RNAcentral.
GGCCUUGUAGCUCAGUCGGUUAGAGAGUUGGCCGUACUAAAGCCUUCCCCUUGCUGACGUGGGUUCGAAUCCCACGGAGGCCG